Molecule: long non-coding RNA, 592 nt
Organism: Camelina sativa (false flax)
Lineage: Eukaryota; Viridiplantae; Streptophyta; Magnoliopsida; Brassicales; Brassicaceae
Source: RefSeq, a predicted model, not a curated record
GUCCCUUACUUUCUGUAUAAUCGCUUUACCGUUCUCGUAGUUUGUCGUAGCAAAGCAAAGGCUUCUCUUUUUUCAUUGGUAAAAGAAAUAGAGAGAGAGAGAGAGAGAGAGAGAGAGAAGAGAGAGAGAGCAACGUUUCGUCGAAGUAAUGCUCUCGUAGUCAGACUCUGCUUCAAGAUUUUGGUUCUCUAUGCAAAGAUAUAUAACCAGGAUUUGAAGGCUCGUCAUAUACCAGCUGCUAAAAAUGCGAGACAAUAUGAAAUUUCUGCGUGAUAUGCAUCGUAAUCAAGAACCAAGGUGAAUUAGAGGGAGAAAGAGAAGAAACAGAAAAACACAUGUCACGGCCAUUAUGAGCCGGAGAAUAUUCCAGCUGUGACUGACUAGUCCAGAUUCAUCGCCAUUAUCCUCAUAUAUAUAUGUUCCAAGCAGGUUUCUUAUCAAGCAAGCGAACUUUGACCAGAGAGAGACAUUGAAAUUGACACAUACAAAAUUGGACACUUGAAUAUUGGUUCAUGUACAAAGAUUUGUCCAACCUUUUUCUCUGAACAAAUAAAUAUUCUAUAUAGCAUUUUUACUUAAAAUGUUUUAAAAU